CUAUAUUUCAAUAUAAACUAUUGAAAUUCCUCUCGCAUUUGUGACAUUUCUGUUUUACUUUCCUCACACUUUGUGACUGUUCUGUUAUUUGUUCUUUUUUCUGCUCAUGUCAAACUGUUUUAGUACUGAUGUGCGCCUUAUCAUACCAUUUUCUUUGAAUUUUCAAGAAAGACAAAAAAAAAACAUAUUUCCACUUUUGAAUUUAAAACCAUACAUGCAGCAAUGAAUUGUGGGUAAUAUACUUUGCCGAAGUCCGCGAGAAUGUACCUGAGUCCAGCAGAUUUUGCAGCAACACCGGUAUGUUUCCUGAUGUCUGCCCCCUUUAGCUUUUGUUAACACACUCGCGAUGAGGUUACAUUUUGAUAGAUUUAUGCCUGUGAUAACAGGUGUUAUGCCGAGAAACGCAUACCUGCCAAGAAUUGCGUCCCCUGUCGCGGGAGCGCGCAUCGCUCUAAACUCUCGCAUAUUGAUGAGAAAACGGACUGAAAUAUGACCGAAGAGGAAACUUUUAAAGAUAUUCCUAACAUCAUGUUUCUUAACCAUGUAAAUCCUAAAACGGUGGGUUUUAUUUUGCAUGUGAAUUGAAAUAAAUACGGUUUUGACACCUUUAUUGAGUCAUAUGAGUCGAACGUUUUACAGUCUGAGUCUGAUAAAAUGUUC
Long non-coding RNA from Xiphophorus couchianus (Monterrey platyfish), 660 nucleotides. RefSeq lists it as uncharacterized. The transcript is spliced from 3 exons. NCBI's taxonomy places the organism in Eukaryota, Metazoa, Chordata, Actinopteri, Cyprinodontiformes, Poeciliidae. The record is from RefSeq and is a predicted model, not a curated record.